RNAcentral lists this ribosomal RNA (253 nucleotides) under uncultured bacterium. RNAcentral's name for it is "partial 16S ribosomal RNA". It matches the Rfam family "Bacterial small subunit ribosomal RNA", at positions 524 to 776 of the family's 1533-position model. The record is from RNAcentral.
UACGUAGGGUGCAAGCGUUGUCCGGAAUUAUUGGGCGUAAAGAGCUCGUAGGCGGUCUGUCGCGUCGGCUGUGAAAACUCGGGGCUCAACUCCGAGCCUGCAGUCGAUACGGGCAGACUAGAGUGCUGUAGGGGAGACUGGAAUUCCUGGUGUAGCGGUGAAAUGCGCAGAUAUCAGGAGGAACACCGGUGGCGAAGGCGGGUCUCUGGGCAGUAACUGACGCUGAGGAGCGAAAGCGUGGGGAGCGAACAGG